Molecule: ribosomal RNA, 583 nt
Filed under: uncultured eukaryote
Lineage: Eukaryota
Description: eukaryotic LSU rRNA
Rfam family: 5.8S ribosomal RNA (bases 190-343)
Source: RNAcentral
AAAGUCGUAACAAGGUCUCCGUUGGUGAACCAGCGGAGGGAUCAUUAUCGAGUUAUUCAACUCCCAAACCCUAUGUGAACUUACCACUUGUUGCUUCGGCGCGCGCUUCGGCGCCGCCGAGGACACUUAAACUCUUUGUUUUUAUAAGCAUUUCUGAGUGGCCGAAAGGCAAAAAUACAAAUGAAUCAAAACUUUCAACAACGGAUCUCUUGGUUCUGGCAUCGAUGAAGAACGCAGCGAAAUGCGAUAAGUAAUGUGAAUUGCAGAAUUCAGUGAAUCAUCGAAUCUUUGAACGCACAUUGCGCCCGCCAGCAUUCUGGCGGGCAUGCCUGUUCGAGCGUCAUUUCAACCCUCGAGCCCGACUCUUUUGAGGACGGCUCGGCGUUGGGGGACGGCAGACUCCCCCCGGCAUCUCGCCGGGGACGCCGCCCCCGAAAUCUAGUGGCGGCCCUCCGAGGCGACCUCUGCGUAGUAACUUGUUCUCGCACCGGAAAGCUCAGAGCGGCCACGCCGUAAAACCCCAACUUUUUUCAGGUUGACCUCGAAUCAGGUAGGACUACCCGCUGAACUUAAGCAUAUCAAU